CGCGGGGUAGAGCAGUUUGGUAGCUCGUUGGGCUCAUAACCCAAAGGUCGCUGGUUCAAAUCCAGCCCCCGCAACCA
Molecule: transfer RNA, 77 nt
Filed under: Candidatus Babelota bacterium
Lineage: Bacteria
Also listed under: 1 other name
Description: Candidatus Dependentiae bacterium tRNA-Met
Rfam family: tRNA
About the family: Transfer RNA (tRNA) molecules are approximately 80 nucleotides in length. Their secondary structure includes four short double-helical elements and three loops (D, anti-codon, and T loops).
Source: RNAcentral